RNAcentral lists this ribosomal RNA (379 nucleotides) under Fridericia digitata. RNAcentral's name for it is "partial 12S ribosomal RNA". Lineage: Eukaryota; Metazoa; Annelida; Clitellata; Enchytraeida; Enchytraeidae. The record is from RNAcentral.
UUAAGACAUAAAAAUAUGCCGGAUAAUACAAUCAACCGAUUAAAAUUCAAAGGAUAUGGCGGUGUUUUUAUAUAAUCAGGGGAACCUGUUUCUUAAUUCGAUAACCCACGAAAGCUCAACCUUUUUUGAAUAUUCAGCCUGUGUACUGCUGUCGCAAGUAAACCUAUAAAAGAUAGUUUACAAUAAAUAAUAUCUAUUUUACGUCAAGUCAAAGUGCAGCUAAUAAAAAGGAGAUAAUGGGUUACAACCUAAAACAUAGACUUACGGAAAAGUAAAAUAAAAAUACUUUGAAGGUGGACUUGACAGUAAUAUUUAUAAAUAACAAAUAUAAAAAUUUCUAAAACAUGUACACAUCGCCCGUCACUCUCAUCUAAAGACG